UCUCCGUAGGUGAACCUGCGGAAGGAUCAUUAAAGUUAUAGUUACCCGGCCCUCUUUGCUGGGGUUUUCUAUAUCUCCCUUUGUCUAUUACGCCUUCGUUGCUUUGGCAGGCCUGUUCUCGGACUCCUUGCUCCGGCCCGCCCGUGCAUCCCAGUGGACUUAAACACCUGUUGUAAAUUUCGACAGCGUACCACUUAACUCCUAAAACUUUGAACAACGGAUCACUUGGUUCUGGCACACGUCAGAAACCCAGCCAAAGGGUCGUACCUCGUAUGCAAA
Molecule: unclassified non-coding RNA, 279 nt
Filed under: plant metagenome
Description: partial contains small subunit ribosomal RNA, internal transcribed spacer 1, and 5.8S ribosomal RNA
Source: RNAcentral